This is a small nuclear RNA of Pongo abelii (Sumatran orangutan), 94 nucleotides long. Lineage: Eukaryota; Metazoa; Chordata; Mammalia; Primates; Hominidae. The record is from Ensembl.
GUGCUUGCUUUGGCAGCACAUAAACUAAAAUUGGAACAAUACAGAGAAGAUUAGCAUGGCUCCCUUAAAAAACAUAUUAAAAAAUAAUUUUUUU